RNAcentral lists this ribosomal RNA (253 nucleotides) under uncultured bacterium. Its description in RNAcentral is "partial 16S ribosomal RNA". It matches the Rfam family "Bacterial small subunit ribosomal RNA", at positions 524 to 776 of the family's 1533-position model. The record is from RNAcentral.
UACAGAGGGUGCGAGCGUUGUCCGGAAUCACUGGGCGUAAAGGGCGCGUAGGUGGCGGCCCAAGUCCGUGGUGAAAGCUCGCCGCUUAACGGCGAGUCGGCCACGGAGACUGGGUGGCUCGAGCACUGUAGGGGCAGAUGGAAUUCCGGGUGUAGCGGUGGAAUGCGUAGAGAUCGGGAAGAACAUCGGUGGCGAAGGCGGCCAGCUGGGCCAUUGCUGACGCUGAUGCGCGACAGCGUGGGGAGCAAACAGG